RNAcentral lists this ribosomal RNA (348 nucleotides) under uncultured fungus. RNAcentral's name for it is "SSU rRNA". It matches the Rfam family "Eukaryotic small subunit ribosomal RNA", at positions 21 to 370 of the family's 1831-position model. The record is from RNAcentral. Lineage: Eukaryota; Fungi.
UGUAGUCAUAUGCUUGUCUCAAAGAUUAAGCCAUGCAUGUCUAAGUAUAAGCAACUUGUACAGUGAAACUGCGAAUGGCUCAUUAAAUCAGUUAUCGUUUAUUUGAUAAUCCCUUACUACAUGGAUACCUGUGGUAAUUCUAGAGCUAAUACAUGCUUCAAGGAGUGGCUUUCGUCACUCUGCACUUAUUAGAUAAAAAACCAAUGCCCUUUGGGGCUCCCUGGUGAUUCAUAAUAAUUUAGCGGACCGCAUUCCCUCGAGGAGGCGGUGGAUCAUUCAAAUUUCUGCCCUAUCAACUUUCGAUGGUAGGAUAGUGGCCUACCAUGGUUUCAACGGGUAACGGGGAAU